Numida meleagris (helmeted guineafowl) is the source of this 320-nucleotide long non-coding RNA. RefSeq lists it as uncharacterized. Lineage: Eukaryota; Metazoa; Chordata; Aves; Galliformes; Numididae. The transcript has 2 exons. The record is from RefSeq and is a predicted model, not a curated record.
GUGUGUGAGAAGUGUAGGAGCUGGGAAUCCCCUCCUUGGGAUGUUCCAUCGGGCUGGACGUGGCGGGGCACUUCAGGCUGGAGAAAACCCUGUGCCCUUGGAGAAAAUUGUUUCCCCUCUUCCUACAGGGAAUCCAGAGCCUGAGCAGCAGCUGUGAAGAGUGGAGAUAAAGAAAGAAGUGGAAGAUGUUGGAAGCGCUUUGGGCAACGUGAAGAAGGAUUUGCACUGAAGGAGCUGUUCAAGGGCCCAGCCGCAAAACAGAGACACAUACAUGCUUAUAUAUAGAAGAAUGUAAACCCUCCUGUAUGCAUACGUUAAAA